Molecule: long non-coding RNA, 1045 nt
Organism: Carya illinoinensis
Lineage: Eukaryota; Viridiplantae; Streptophyta; Magnoliopsida; Fagales; Juglandaceae
Exons: 2
Source: RefSeq, a predicted model, not a curated record
GGAAGAAGAUACAGAGUUCCUUUUAUUGGAUAAAAUGGUGAUGAUAAUGAUGAUGACAAUGGUCAUGGGAUGCAGAGGAGAACGUCAAAGAAGUUAGGGCCUCCCAACAAAAAUGAUUGAGAGAAGGUCCAGAAGCGAAUUCCGAAGUGAAGUCAGGGCACUCAAAGCCCGUGGUGCCGCACUUUAUACAAGCACAUAACUUUUGAUAAUAGUUAAUUCGUACUACCAUGUGGAAAUACUCUUGUAAUGGUUAAUUCAAACUACUUGAGUAUCCAUUACUAUAUACUUUUGCUAUGGUUAGUUCGAAUGGCUAGAGUGUUUAUGUAAAACCUUCAAGACAUACUCACAGUGGAUAUAAGGACCUGUGAUAUGAUGCGAUACUAGAAUGAGAGCACAGUUUAUGGGGAAUUGUGGAGCUUCCAUUAUCAUGUAACAAGAAUAAGCAUGAAUGAAUUCAGUUUACGCCAUGCCAUGUUCAUGAAAAGUUAUGUUAUUAAUAGGUUAUGUAUGAGUUUUGUUUAUUCAAGCAUGUCAUAUUCAUGAUAGUCAUGAUGUUACUAAGUUAAGUUUUUAUAAGCAAGUUCAUGUUCAUCAAGCAUAAGUUUUUAUAAGCAAGUUCGUGUUCAUCAAGCAUACAUGUCGUGUUUAUUGUCAUGCAUGUUUAUUUAUACUGUUAGUAAAUUAUAUUCUUUACUUGUUGAGAUUUUAUAAAUAUCAUUAUGGCAGUCUCAACUAUCAUCCCCUUUGGAAUGAUAGACGAUGUGUCAGGAAAUGGAGGAGCAAUGAACCCCUCACUGGACGAUGUCAAAUAGCCUAAGGAGGAGCCUCGGGAAGCUUAUGGAGUUGAUCCUCCAUUUUUUAAUAUUAUUCUAGAGCUGAUAGCUAAGCUACUAAGCGACUUGGUAUUUAAAUUAGAGUUUUGUUUGUCUGUAACUUUGGAGUCCUGUCUUCAGUGCUAUGUUAUUUUAUUUAUAAAUUGGUUGGAUGAAUGAGGCGACUUUUGGCUAUGUGAAUAUGAAAGAAAAGUGAUUAUGUUUUUAUAUUA